AACGAACGCUGGCGGCAUGCCUAACACAUGCAAGUCGAACGAGACCUUCGGGUCUAGUGGCGCACGGGUGCGUAACGCGUGGGAAUCUGCCCUUGGGUUCGGGGAUAACAGUUGGAAACGACUGCUAAUACCGGAUGAUGACUUCGGUCCAAAGAUUUAUCGCCCAGGGAUGAGCCCGCGUAGGAUUAGCUAGUUGGUGA
RNAcentral lists this ribosomal RNA (200 nucleotides) under uncultured bacterium. Its description in RNAcentral is "partial 16S ribosomal RNA". It matches the Rfam family "Bacterial small subunit ribosomal RNA", at positions 29 to 255 of the family's 1533-position model. The record is from RNAcentral.